CCGCCCCCUAUGUAUCAUGAAAAAAUGCCGCCCCGGGCGACUGCCCGGUUCGCCCGUGCCAAAAACCGCUACUGGAUGCUCAGAAUACAGACUA
Molecule: long non-coding RNA, 94 nt
Organism: Sinocyclocheilus grahami
Lineage: Eukaryota; Metazoa; Chordata; Actinopteri; Cypriniformes; Cyprinidae
Exons: 3
Source: RefSeq, a predicted model, not a curated record